RNAcentral lists this long non-coding RNA (337 nucleotides) under Oryza brachyantha (malo sina). RNAcentral describes it as "long non-coding RNA (OBRA_LNC002367)". Lineage: Eukaryota; Viridiplantae; Streptophyta; Magnoliopsida; Poales; Poaceae. The record is from RNAcentral.
AAAGCAGCUUCUUUUCUUCUUCUUCUUCCUCCUCCUCCUCCAACCCAACAAGCCCAAAAGCCUGGAGCCACUACCACCACCACCGGCUUCUCCCCCUCUGCGCGUAAUCGUACCACCAGCUUUGACCUCCACCCACCAUUGCCCCUAUAAAUCUCGGGCUCUCCUCCCGAUUCGCCACCUAAAGGAGCCGCCUUUGCUUCGGCCGGCCAAGAAAGAGGAAGAGGGUGUUUCUUUCUUGGGACGGCGAUGGAGGGCGGCAGAGGUGGAGCCGGCGGUGCGGGGGACUACAUUUCCAGCCUCCUCAACUCGUCCCCGCGCCUCGACUUCGGGUUGCUGG